This 195-nucleotide unclassified non-coding RNA is filed under the name rhizosphere metagenome. RNAcentral's name for it is "partial ribosomal RNA internal transcribed spacer region". The record is from RNAcentral.
GUUGGUGAACCAGCGGAGGGAUCAUUACCGAGUCACCCGACUCCCAAACCCCGUGUGAACCGUACCGACCGUUGCCUCGGCGGGACCGCCCCGGCGCCCGCCGGAGGACCCAAACCCUCCUGUAUCUCCAGCGGCAUCUUCUGAGUGGAUUACACAAAUGAAUCAAAACUUUCAACAACGGAUCUCUUGGCUCUG